RNAcentral lists this ribosomal RNA (495 nucleotides) under uncultured Proteiniphilum sp. RNAcentral describes it as "bacterial SSU rRNA". It matches the Rfam family "Bacterial small subunit ribosomal RNA", at positions 887 to 1382 of the family's 1533-position model. The record is from RNAcentral. Lineage: Bacteria; Pseudomonadati; Bacteroidota; Bacteroidia; Bacteroidales; Dysgonomonadaceae.
CGCCCGCUCAGAAACUCAAAUGAAUUGGACGGGGGCCCGCACAAGCGGUGGAGCAUGUGGUUUAAUUCGAUGAUACGCGAGGAACCUUACCUGGGCUCAAAUGUAUGUUGACGUAUUCUGAAAGGGAUACUUCUUCGGACAAUAUACAAGGUGCUGCAUGGUUGUCGUCAGCUCGUGCCGUGAGGUGUCGGCUUAAGUGCCAUAACGAGCGCAACCCUCAUCAUUAGUUACCAUCAGGUAAGGCUGGGGACUCUAAUGAGACUGCCAUCGUAAGAUGUGAGGAAGGUGGGGAUGACGUCAAAUCAGCACGGCCCUUACGUCCGGGGCGACACACGUGUUACAAUGGGUGGUACAAAGGGCAGCUACCUGGCGACAGGAUGCUAAUCUCGAAAACCGCUCUCAGUUCGGAUCGGAGUCUGCAACUCGACUCCGUGAAGCUGGAUUCGCUAGUAAUCGCGCAUCAGCCACGGCGCGGUGAAUACGUUCCCGGGCCUU